AUUGAACGCUGGCGGCAGGCCUAACACAUGCAAGUCGAGCGGAUGAAGGGAGCUUGCUCCUGGAUUCAGCGGCGGACGGGUGAGUAAUGCCUAGGAAUCUGCCUGGUAGUGGGGGAUAACGUCCGGAAACGGGCGCUAAUACCGCAUACGUCCUGAGGGAGAAAGUGGGGGAUCUUCGGACCUCACGCUAUCAGAUGAGCCUAGGUCGGAUUAGCUAGUUGGUGGGGUAAAGGCCUACCAAGGCGACGAUCCGUAACUGGUCUGAGAGGAUGAUCAGUCAAACUGGAACUGAGACACGGUCCAGAAUCCUACGGGAGGGAGGAGUGGGGAAAAUUUGAACAUGGGCGGAAGGCCGAUCCAGGCCAGGCGCGGUGGUGAAGAAGGGCUUCGGAUUGUAAAGCACUUUAAGUUGGGAGGAAGGGCAGUAAGUUAAUACCUUGCUGUUUUGACGUUACCAACAGAAUAAGCACCGGCUAACUUCGUG
This 484-nucleotide ribosomal RNA is filed under the name uncultured bacterium. Its description in RNAcentral is "partial 16S ribosomal RNA". It matches the Rfam family "Bacterial small subunit ribosomal RNA", at positions 30 to 507 of the family's 1533-position model. The record is from RNAcentral.